AGAGUUUGAUCCUGGCUCAGAAUCAACGCUGGCGGCGUGCCUAACACAUGCAAGUCGCACGAGAAAGUGGAGCAAUCCAUGAGUAAAGUGGCGUACGGGUGAGUAACACGUGACUAACCUACCUUCGAGUGGGGAAUAACCUCGGGAAACCGGGGCUAAUACCGCAUAACAUCUUCUGGCUGAGAUGCCGGUUGAUCAAAGUAGCAAUGCGCUUGAAGAGGGGGUCGCGGCUGAUUAGCUAGUUGGUGAGGUAACGGCUCACCAAGGCGAUGAUCAGUAGCCGGCCUGAGAGGGCGCUCGGUCACACUGGAACUGAAACACGGUCCAGACUCCUACGGGAGGCAGCAGUGGGGAAUUUUGCGCAAUGGGGGAAACCCUGACGCAGCAACGCCGCGUGGAGGAUGAAGUCCCUUGGGACGUAAACUCCUUUCGAUCGGGACGAUUAUGACGGUACCGGAAGAAGAAGCCCCGGCUAACUUCGUGCCAGCAGCCGCGGUAAUACGAGGGGGGCAAGCGUUGUUCGGAAUUAUUGGGCGUAAAGGGCGCGUAGGCGGUGCGGUAAGUCUGUUGUGAAAUCUCCGGGCUCAACUCGGAGCUUGCAUCAGAAACUGCCGUGCUUGAGUGUGGGAGAGGUGAGUGGAAUUCCCGGUGUAGCGGUGAAAUGCGUAGAUAUCGGGAGGAACACCCGUGGCGAAAGCGGCUCACUGGACCACAACUGACGCUGAUGCGCGAAAGCUAGGGGAGCAAACAGGAUUAGAUACCCUAGUAGUCC
Molecule: ribosomal RNA, 772 nt
Filed under: uncultured bacterium
Lineage: Bacteria
Description: bacterial SSU rRNA
Rfam family: Bacterial small subunit ribosomal RNA
Source: RNAcentral